UUAGAGCAGAUAUCACCUUAUCCGGGAUCCUCAUAUGGAUAACUGCGGAAAUACUGGAGCUAAUACAUGCAACUAUACCCCAACGCAAGGCGGGGUGCAAUUAUUAGAACAGACCAAACGUUUUCGGACGUUGUUUGUUGACUCUGAAUAAAGCAGUUUACUGUCAGUUUCGACUGACUCUAUCCGGAAAGGGUGUCUGCCCUUUCAACUAGAUGGUAGUUUAUUGGACUACCAUGGUUGUUACGGGUAACGGAGAAUAAGGGUUCGACUCCGGAGAGGGAGCCUUAGAAACGGCUACCACGUCCAAGGAAGGCAGCAGGCGCGAAACUUAUCCACUGUUGAGUAUGAGAUAGUGACUAAAAAUAUAAAGACUCAUCCUUUUGGAUGAGUUAUUUCAAUGAGUUGAAUACAAAUGAUUCUUCGAGUAGCAAGGAGAGGGCAAGUCUGGUGCCAGCAGCCGCGGUAAUUCCAGCUCUCCUAGUGUAUCUCGUUAUUGCUGCGGUUAAAAAGCUCGUAGUUGGAUCUAGGUUACGUGCCGCAGUUCGCAAUUUGCGUCAACUGUGGUCGUGACUUCUAAUUUGCUGGUUUGAGGUUGGGUUC
Molecule: ribosomal RNA, 600 nt
Filed under: Caenorhabditis elegans
Lineage: Eukaryota; Metazoa; Nematoda; Chromadorea; Rhabditida; Rhabditidae
Description: SSU rRNA
Rfam family: Eukaryotic small subunit ribosomal RNA
Source: RNAcentral